UUUAAUGUAACUCAAACUGUUCCAUAGCCAUACAUCGUUGGAAAUGCCUCAUAGAGUAAAAUUGUGGUUUUGUUUUCCUCCCUGGACUAUUUGUUAGAUCUGUGGGAAGGAACUACAAGACAGUU
This 125-nucleotide small nucleolar RNA is filed under the name Prolemur simus (greater bamboo lemur). The record is from RNAcentral. Lineage: Eukaryota; Metazoa; Chordata; Mammalia; Primates; Lemuridae.